ACGUAGGGGGCAAGCGUUGUCCGGAAUGAUUGGGCGUAAAGGGCGCGUAGGCGGCCUGGUAAGUCUGGAGUGAAAGUCCUGCUUUUAAGGUGGGAAUUGCUUUGGAUACUGCUGGGCUUGAGUGCAGGAGAGGUAAGUGGAAUUCCCGGUGUAGCGGUGAAAUGCGUAGAGAUGGGGAGGAACAGCAAUGGCGAAGGCGACAAACUGGACUGAAACUGAGGCUGAUGCGCCAAAGUGUGUGCAGCAAACAG
Molecule: ribosomal RNA, 251 nt
Filed under: uncultured prokaryote
Description: partial 16S rRNA
Rfam family: Bacterial small subunit ribosomal RNA
Source: RNAcentral